UAAAGUUAGUGGCGGACGGGUGAGUAACGCGUGAAUAACCUGCCCUGUACCGGGGGACAACAGUUGGAAACGGCUGCUAAUACCGCAUAAGCGCACGGUUCCGCAUGGAACAGUGUGAAAAACUCCGGUGGUACAGGAUGGAUUCGCGUCUGAUUAGCCAGUUGGUGGGGUAACGGCCUACCAAAGCAACGAUCAGUAGCCGGCCUGAGAGGGUGAACGGCCACAUUGGGACUGAGACACGGCCCAAACUCCUACGGGAGGCAGCAGUGGGGAAUAUUGCACAAUGGGGGAAACCCUGAUGCAGCGACGCCGCGUGAGUGAAGAAGUUAUUCGUAACGUAAAGCUCUAUCAGCAGGGAAGAAAAUGACGGUACCCGACUAAGAAGCCCUGGCUAACUACGUGCCAGCAGCCGCGGUAAUACGUAGGGGGCAAGCGUUAUCCGGAUUUACUGGGUGUAAAGGGAGCGUAGACGGCACAGCAAGUCUGAUGUGAAAGCCCGGGGCCCAACCCCGGAACUGCAUUGGAAACUGCUGGGCUUGAGUGCAGGAGAGGUAAGCGGAAUUCCUAGUGUAGCGGUGAAAUGCGUAGAUAUUAGGAGGAACACCAGUGG
This 610-nucleotide ribosomal RNA is filed under the name uncultured Lachnospiraceae bacterium. Its description in RNAcentral is "bacterial SSU rRNA". It matches the Rfam family "Bacterial small subunit ribosomal RNA", at positions 87 to 715 of the family's 1533-position model. The record is from RNAcentral. Lineage: Bacteria; Bacillati; Bacillota; Clostridia; Lachnospirales; Lachnospiraceae.